RNAcentral lists this long non-coding RNA (300 nucleotides) under Androctonus crassicauda. The record is from RNAcentral. Lineage: Eukaryota; Metazoa; Arthropoda; Arachnida; Scorpiones; Buthidae.
GUCAAAUCCUAUUAACUCUUCUCCAUAUUUGCUUGCUGGCAGAAUUGACAUUUACAGCCUGCUGUUUGUUUGUAGUUGAGAAUGUGUGCAAAAAUAUCAGGCCUGUUUCCUGUGCACUAUGAAAACUUUUGUGACUGCUCACAAAUAUAUCCGCUUGUUCUGGUCUCUCUUCUUAUAUAGCUCUAUUCUUAGAUAUAUAAUUUGAAUGUGAUCUUUGAAAUCGUGCAAAUUGUUGCUGUCAUGUGAAAGUAUUCUCAAACAGAAAAACCUAACUUUGUCAUCUUGAUAUUUCUUGGUCUA